RNAcentral lists this long non-coding RNA (455 nucleotides) under Zostera marina. Its description in RNAcentral is "long non-coding RNA (ZMAR_LNC002336)". The record is from RNAcentral. Lineage: Eukaryota; Viridiplantae; Streptophyta; Magnoliopsida; Alismatales; Zosteraceae.
GGAAGAAAACGAGAACAGACAACGCGUCUGUUCUGAUUUGGGGUUUUUAAUAAACCCCAAAACUUACAUGGCGGAUUUCCGCCAUGUAAGUACACUUAAGUGCCGCCAUGUAAGGUGGAAAAAUCCGCCCAAUCGAAAUUUGGGCGGGCUUUUUCCGCCCGAGUCCCCCGAAUACUUAAGAUGGCGGAUUUCCGCCAUCUUAAGUCAAUUUAAUCGGGUAAUCGGGUUAUUGUUUGGGGGAGAUUCGAAAUUUUGGGCGGGAUAGUUUAGAUGGCGGAUUUCCGCCAUCUAAACACCGCCAUCGAAAAUAAAAUGGAACCGCCGUCGAGCCCAACCCUUUCCUCGGCGGACUGAAAGAAUAGAUGGCGGACAUCCGCCAUCUAAACAACUGAAGUAUUGAUGGCGGAUUUCCGCCAUCUAAAGGCCGCCAUACAAGGUCCUUUUUUUUGUAGUGA